CGGCGCGAGGGCCGGCCGCCGGCCGCCGUAACGUAACAUGGCGGCGCCCGUGGCCGGCUCUCGAGGGCCGCGGAAGAUGACGUCAUCAGAGGAGUGGGCUGGCUCGGCCGACCUACUCCCCCUUCGGCCCUGAAGCGGACAGAACCCCGACGCGCCGGCUGGCUAGGGCUACCCACCAACGGACGGGCGCCGGGGGGCGGCCAGGACGUCGGGGUCCCGCGCCGCUGGGAGCGAGGUUGUCGAGGUCAGAAAGACAUUUAGGGAAAUAUUUGCCAAAUAGAGUCGGGUGGGGUCCAGCUCUCGUCCGUUCCCUAGACAGCCCGCGUGCGCUGACCACCUGCCACGUGCCUGGCACUGUUCCAGUUGCUGGGGACACAGUGUGCCUUAUCCCAAGAAAGGACUGAGUGAUGAUGCCCGCGGCUGCUCCACGUCCUCGGUCUCAGCUGCAGGCGGCCUUCUCCAGGCCGGCUUCCUUGCCUGCGCCCAGUGAUCUGUGUCAUAGCGCCCAGAAUCGGGCCAGCGCCUAGAGUCAGGCUAGUACCUCUCGUGGAUGAGGACAGCACACUUGGAGGUGCUCCCAAGCUUGGUGGCAGACCGAGAGGGGUGGGGACUGGUGUACCAGGCGUGGCCAGGGCCCUUUUCCGAGGAGGGCACGCUGCCCCUCAAGUUAAAAGAAGUCCAUGCAGUGAGCAGGAGGAAGGGUGCCCCAGACAGGGAGCAGCGCAGUGGUGCAGGAGGGGUCACCCAGCCCCGGCCUCCUGCCUCCUCACGUCCCAGCCGGUAUGUCUCUUCCUCUGUCCCUUUCCCGCUCACCGCUUGGACCCGGACCUCAUCAUCUCCGGAAAGAGUGCCUGUGCAUGAACCCCCCUUCAGAUCCCCCUCUGCCAAAGGACACCAGGCAGUGUUAAGGAGGGCUGCUAAAAGUUCUCUAGGCGGACUGUGCUGGUUCACCUCCCACAGUUGACACAGGCUUGCGAGUGUCAAUUGCUAAAUUUUCAGGAAUUUUAUAAGCUUGUCAUUAAACACUGCCAUUGUUAAAAAUGUAACUUCAGGGCUUCCCUGGUGGCGCAGUGGUUGAGAAUCCGCCUGCCAGUGCAGGGGACACGGGUUCAAGCCCUGGUCCGGGAAGAUCCCACAUGCCGCGGAGCAACUAAGCCCGUGCGCCACAACUACUGAGCCUGCGCUCUAGAGCCCGUGAGCCACAACUACUGGGACCGUGCGCCACAACUACUGAAGCCUGCAUGCUUAGAGCCCGUGCUCCACAACAAGAGAAGCCACCGCAAUGAGAAGCCCACACACCGCAACGAAGAGUAGCCCCCGCUCGCCACAACUAGAGAAAGCCCGCGUGCAGCAACAAAGACCCAAUGCAGCCAAAAAUAAAUAGAUAAAAUAAAAUUUAAAAAAAAUGUAACUUCA
Long non-coding RNA from Balaenoptera ricei (Rice's whale), 1416 nucleotides. RefSeq lists it as uncharacterized. The transcript is spliced from 3 exons. Lineage: Eukaryota; Metazoa; Chordata; Mammalia; Artiodactyla; Balaenopteridae. The record is from RefSeq and is a predicted model, not a curated record.